RNAcentral lists this long non-coding RNA (2986 nucleotides) under Homo sapiens (human). Its description in RNAcentral is "HSALNT0207274". The record is from RNAcentral. Lineage: Eukaryota; Metazoa; Chordata; Mammalia; Primates; Hominidae.
CGGGGGCGUACUUGCUGUUCUCUGGCUGACCCCAAGUUGGAACUGGGGGCAGAAACUAGGUUGUCGUGAACUAAGUCGCGCCCGCCCUGCGCCAGGGCCGUGGAGGUGUGGGCUGGGCUUCCCUGGUCACAAGUGGCUCAGCCACUGUCCCUCUUCAGGAAGGAUGACACCUCUCCAGAUACACCCACUUACAGGCGGGGGGGGCAUUAUGAAAUAAUUCAAACGUGCAGAAAACUGGAGUAAGGAAAUAAAUCACCCAGAUCUCACAAAUGUUAACAUUUUUGCUAUAUUUGUACCAACCAAUUUUUUUCUUACAGAAAUAAAUUUAAAAUAUAGAUUUUUAUAUAAGUCAUUUGAAAGUAUUCGCCUCCUUCUUUUUAAAAACUCUGGCAACGGUAAGUAGGAGAGGAGAAAACUGCAGUUACCUAACACCCCUUUAGAGGAGGCAUGUCCUGGAGGCCCCAGGCUGCUGGGCCAAAAGCACCCUGAAGCUGCUGGGAGGGGUUCCUCCUGUCAGCGGCCCCCCGACUGUGGAAGCCCGCCUGUGUGCAUCCCAUGCCUCCCGCUGUGUGGUAGGAAGGAAGAGGACGGGGCUAAGGCAGAGUCGGAUAACGAGCCCUUCAGCAGAGAGGGGCGCUGUUUUCGGCAUCUUCACAGCAGAGCUUCACGCCGUGUUCUGCCAACCCCACUGGAAGAAGAAACACCUGGAAGCUACGCGGCCAGCCCACGGGCACUUCACCUGCACAUCAAGGGCCUGCCUCAAAGCAGGGAAAGAACGAUAAACUGAGUCCCACCAAACGCUGUUAGCUCUCUAAGCCAGUGCAAGCAAGGCCCCUGCGGGCAACCCACUCGCUGUCCCUCAGACGCCACAUCCGAGGCACACGCUGCAGCCCGCUGGCCUUGCCGCCUACCCCGAUGAAGUGGGACCCACCGAACAACAAAGCCUCCAUUCCCCAGGGUCUUGCAACUCUGCGGCUCCCGUGACGGGGGAAGGUGGGAGGAGCUGCUCAGACACACAGCCUCGCACGCCAACGACGCUCUUCACCGAUGCCGGUAGACAUGUGUGUUGCUUAGCCAGUCUGACAUACACAGGGCAGUGACAGGAAAAGGCCCAUAGGAAAGAGCGUUCAUUCAGACCUGACCCAGAGACCCAGGGCUCUCACACUCUGAGACUGUGACCUGGGAUGAGAAAUACACUGGCUGCUUUACCUUGAAAUGAGCCGCAACUGUGAUCUGGUACACGUCUUUUGUGAGUGGGUGCAGCACAUCGCACAUUUGCAAUUUGGCCCAGGUGUGACAUCUUCUCAAGGGCGUCACCCAGGAAGACAUGGUCCUCAACCACCCUCUUCUAAUUUCUGCAACUGGAGAUACCGGAAGCUUUGAUGUAAGACACCUGGCUUCCAGUUUAGAACAGAUGACUUACGAAACCUGGGAGGCAUCAGCUGAUGUGACAAGUAAAGACAAAUCCUGGCACCAGACCCAAACACAGGAGGGAAUUCCUAGUUCCCCGUGAGGUGGACGGGAAGCAGGGAGGCAGCGGGCACUGUGUUUGAGGAGCUGAGGUUCUUUGAUGCCUUCCACCGCUCUGCUGCAUGGAGCCCAGCGCCACAGCUGCUAUCAACAGUGUUGAGGAAGGACCAGUUACCCAAAAGAGCACAGGAAAAAGCUGUUUCUGCAGACAAAGCCCUGGGCCUUUCCUGGGACCCCCAUCCGCCACAGGGCUGCACAUUUACAAAAGGGCUACAGCUUCCCAGAGGUUCAAGGAUUCCCUUCAUUUGCUCUUUCAGAGGGCAGGGAGAGUGGGGAAGGACUCCUGGCCACUGGCUGAAUGCCUGGCAUCGGCUUGGGACCCGUACAGCUCGGGAAAGCAAGACUCACCCGUGGGAAGAGAAAGCCAUGGUGGGUUUGGUCGAUACAGAGAGAGGCGGCAUUUCCUUUGCUCAGAUUAAGCAGCAAAUAAAUUAAAAUACAUGAAAACAGAAGGGCAGGGUGACACCACGCAAACUGCUGCAGGCCAAUCCAGGCCACCACUAAGCGGUUUACAGCCUGCAUUCUGUUCUGAGGGUGGCGAUGGUGGGGCAGGGCAGGGCAGGGCAGGGCAGGAGGCGCCACAGCUCAUCAGAACCCAGAGGCGAUGAGAAACAGCCUCAUGGCACCCUCUGGGGAGAGAGAUGGAUGGGCCAUGGCACAAGGGAGCACCUCACAGGCCACAGCCCUCGGGGCUCUGGGAGGCUCCUGAGUCCCUCCCAGACAGAGAUCACCAUGGACCAGGCCUUCCCUGUAUGGCCCACGUGGACACACUCAGGGUUCUUGGGCUUUCAUGGCAGAGCCAUUCCCUACAUGGAGCAUCCGUGAUCAGAUGCCAAUCAUAAACAAUUAGAGAUUGUACCUGGAAUAUAUACAGAAUGAUUCAAACUCAAAAAUAGAAAAGACAAGGCGGAAUUUCUCUAGAGACCUGCAAAUGGCCAACAAGCCCAGGAGAGGACGCAGAGCACCCUUAGUCACCAGGGAAAUGCGGGGUGACCCCGCCAAGUGGCAGAGCCAGUCACAAAGCCCCAGGCUGCUUGACUCCAUCCACGAGAAGCGUCCACACGGGCAAAUCUGCGGGCAACAGAAGGUGCAUUAGCAGCUGCCCAGGGCUGGGCUGGGGCAUGACGGGAGGGGAGCUGGGGACAGGGCUUGGGAGCACCUGGUACUGGGCACGGGGUUUCAUUUGAGGGUGAUGACAAGCACUUGGGAGGGCCUGGUACUGGGCAUGGGGUUUCAUUUGAGGGUGAUGAAAAUGUUUUAAAAUUAGAUUGUGGUGAUGUUGUGUAGCUUGGUAAAUAUAAUAAAACUCAUCAAAUUGUUUAAGUGGGUGAUUUUAUGAUAUGUAAGUUAUAUUUCAACAAAGCUCUCUUCCUACACACUCGCGACAGGCUGAGCACUGCUCACUGCCCUGCUUCCAGCCACAUGGCCCCACCGCAGCCGCUCCAGGUCAGCACCC